Molecule: long non-coding RNA, 770 nt
Filed under: Vulpes vulpes (red fox)
Lineage: Eukaryota; Metazoa; Chordata; Mammalia; Carnivora; Canidae
Description: lncRNA (ENSVVUG00000024893.1)
Source: RNAcentral
AUGGCGGCGGCUUCGUGUGGGUGUAGGAGCCAAUAUGGGGGCCCUGGGCCCUCAAGCUGCACAUUGGACUUCCCAGCUCCAGAACUCAGGCCCCGUUCAGGACACUUAGGCUCCACGUGGGCUGCCAGUGAGGCUGGGCCGUGGCUCCUUCUCCAGGUGGCAUCGCCCUGCUCCAAACCCACAAGUGCAGAGCAGACCAGCAGGUCCCAGCGAGAAGGCUGCUGUCCCCAGGGCCAGCCCUGCCCCCGAGGCCUCAGGGGUUGGCUCUGGGCUCACCAGACGCCCCGGCCUGCAAGGAGAGGACCCCGUCGAUUAAAAUACCAUCAUCUGUGAGAAGCAUUGGGUUGAAGGUGCCAACACAUUCACCUUGAAGGAUCAUUAUAAGCAACUCUGAAGGUUACAGGGAAUCUGAUGGAAAUCAGACCUAAAAAUAAUUAGGCCUUGUUAAACACACACACACACACACACACUGUGCAGAGAAAAACCAGGACAAAUGGACAGAUGGGGCUCAAAGACGUGGCGCGAUGGAGAAUCCACAUUCUGCACACGUUGUGUUUGCACGUCUGGGUAAUCAAAGCAUGGGACCGACCGGCUUGCUUUUCCAAUGUAUCUUACCAUGCACUCGUGUAAUUUGGAUAAACGAUUUCAGAAAUAGUUGUACUGUCUUUAAAAAGGUUUUGAAUAUAGGGGCACCUGGGGGGUUCAGUUGGUUGAGCGUCCGACUCCUAGUUUCCCCUCGGGUCAUAAUCUCAGUGUCACGGGAUCGAGCC